Molecule: ribosomal RNA, 555 nt
Filed under: uncultured bacterium
Lineage: Bacteria
Description: bacterial SSU rRNA
Rfam family: Bacterial small subunit ribosomal RNA
Source: RNAcentral
CCUACGGGAGGCAGCAGUGGGGAAUAUUGGACAAUGGGCGAAAGCCUGAUCCAGCAAUGCCGCGUGAGUGAAGAAGGCCUUCGGGUUGUAAAGCUCUUUUACCCGGGAAGAUAAUGACUGUACCGGGAGAAUAAGCUCCGGCUAACUCCGUGCCAGCAGCCGCGGUAAUACGGAGGGAGCUAGCGUUGUUCGGAAUUACUGGGCGUAAAGCGUACGUAGGCGGCUUGGUAAGUCAGAGGUGAAAGCCCACGACUCAAUCGUGGAACUGCCUUUGAGACUGCUUCGCUUGAAGAUGGGAGAGGUUAGUGGAAUUCCGAGUGUAGAGGUGAAAUUCGUAGAUAUUCGGAAGAACACCAGUGGUGAAGGCGGCUAACUGGACCAUUCUUGACGCUGAGGUACGAAGCGUGGGAGCAACAGGAUUAGAUACCCUGUAGUCCACGCCGUAAACGAUGAUAACUAGCUGUCGGGGCUCUUGGAGCUUCGGUGGCGCAGCUAACGCAUUAAGUUAUCCGCCUGGGGAGUACGGCCGCAAGGUUAAACCUAAGGAAUUGACGG